GAUAGGUUAAGUUAAUAAGGGCGCAUGGUGGAUGCCUUGGCACUAGAAGGCGAUGAAGGACGUGACUAACUACGAUAUGCCUCGGUUAGCUGUAAGUAAGCUUACCCGGGGGUUUCCGAAUGGGGCAACCCGAUCUUAAUGAUCAUCAUCUUUUUGAAUUCAUAGAUUAGAUGAAGCAAACGCUGUGAACUGAAACAUCUAAGUAGCAGUAGGAAAGUAAAGAAAUUUCGAUUCCGUCAGUAGCGGCGAGCGAACGCGGAAGAGCCCAAACCUGGAUGCUUGCAUCCAGGGGUUGUAGGACUGAUGUUGAGUUACAAAGGUAUAAGAUAGCAGAAACAGUUGGGAAGCUGUUCCAAAGAGGGUGACAGGCCCGUAUGCGAAAUCUUGUACUCUCUAAUCAGGAUCCUGAGUACGGCCCAGCACGUGAAAUUGGGUCGGAAUCUGGGAGGACCAUCUCCCAAGGCUAAAUACUAACUAGUGACCGAUAGCGAACAAGUACCGUGAGGGAAAGGUGAAAAGAACCCCGGAAGGGGAGUGAAAUAGUUCUUGAAACCGUGUGCUUACAAGAAGUUCGAGGCCGUUAAUGGCUGAGAGCGUGCUUUUUGUAGAAUGAACCGGAGAGUUACGAUUGCGUGCAAGGUUAAGGUGCAAAGACUGGAGCCGUAGCGAAAGCGAGUCUUAAUAGGGCGAAUCAGUACGUAGUUGUAG
This 708-nucleotide ribosomal RNA is filed under the name Oenococcus oeni. RNAcentral describes it as "bacterial LSU rRNA". It matches the Rfam family "Bacterial large subunit ribosomal RNA", at positions 1 to 712 of the family's 2925-position model. The record is from RNAcentral. Lineage: Bacteria; Bacillati; Bacillota; Bacilli; Lactobacillales; Lactobacillaceae.